GUUGAUGCCAUGCUUCCAAGAAAAGCUUCUAAGCUUCAGGUAACCAGGAACCGUACCCCAAACCGACACAGGUGGUCGGGUAGAGAAUACCAAGGCGCUUGAGAGAACUCGGGUGAAGGAACUAGGCAAAAUGGCACCGUAACUUCGGGAGAAGGUGCGCCGGCUAGGGUGAAGGAUUUACUCCGUAAGCUCUGGCUGGUCGAAGAUACCAGGCCGCUGCGACUGUUUAUUAAAAACACAGCACUCUGCAAACACGAAAGUGGACGUAUAGGGUGUGACGCCUGCCCGGUGCCGGAAGGUUAAUUGAUGGGGUUAGCGCAAGCGAAGCUCUUGAUCGAAGCCCCGGUAAACGGCGGCCGUAACUAUAACGGUCCUAAGGUAGCGAAAUUCCUUGUCGGGUAAGUUCCGACCUGCACGAAUGGCGUAACGAUGGCGGCGCUGUCUCCACCCGAGACUCAGUGAAAUUGAAAUCGCUGUGAAGAUGCAGUGUAUCCGCGGCUAGACGGAAAGACCCCGUGAACCUUUACUGUAGCUUUGCACUGGACUUUGAGCCUGCUUGUGUAGGAUAGGUGGGAGGCUUUGAAGCGUGGACGCCAGUUCGCGUGGAGCCAUCCUUGAAAUACCACCCUGGCAUGCUUGAGGUUCUAACUCUGGUCCGUGAUCCGGAUCGAGGACAGUGUAUGGUGGGCAGUUUGACUGGGGCGGUCUCCUCCUAAAGAGUAACGGAGGAGUACGAAGGUGCGCUCAGACCGGUCGGAAAUCGGUCGCAGAGUAUAAAGGCAAAAGCGCGCUUGACUGCGAGACAGACACGUCGAGCAGGUACGAAAGUAGGUCUUAGUGAUCCGGUGGUUCUGUAUGGAAGGGCCAUCGCUCAACGGAUAAAAGGUACUCCGGGGAUAACAGGCUGAUACCGCCCAAGAGUUCAUAUCGACGGCGGUGUUUGGCACCUCGAUGUCGGCUCAUCACAUCCUGGGGCUGAAGCCGGUCCCAAGGGUAUGGCUGUUCGCCAUUUAAAGUGGUACGCGAGCUGGGUUUAGAACGUCGUGAGACAGUUCGGUCCCUAUCUGCCGUGGACGUUUGAGAUUUGAGAGGGGCUGCUCCUAGUACGAGAGGACCGGAGUGGACGAACCUCUGGUGUUCCGGUUGUCACGCCAGUGGCAUUGCCGGGUAGCUAUGUUCGGAAAAGAUAACCGCUGAAAGCAUCUAAGCGGGAAACUUGCCUCAAGAUGAGAUCUCACUGGGAACUUGAUUCCCCUGAAGGGCCGUCGAAGACUACGACGUUGAUAGGCUGGGUGUGUAAGCGUUGUGAGGCGUUGAGCUAACCAGUACUAAUUGCCCGUGAGGCUUGACCAU
Molecule: ribosomal RNA, 1353 nt
Filed under: Pseudomonas aeruginosa
Lineage: Bacteria; Pseudomonadati; Pseudomonadota; Gammaproteobacteria; Pseudomonadales; Pseudomonadaceae
Description: partial 23S ribosomal RNA
Rfam family: Bacterial large subunit ribosomal RNA
Source: RNAcentral